This 274-nucleotide ribosomal RNA is filed under the name uncultured bacterium. RNAcentral's name for it is "partial 16S ribosomal RNA". It matches the Rfam family "Bacterial small subunit ribosomal RNA", at positions 79 to 353 of the family's 1533-position model. The record is from RNAcentral.
CUAAGUUUGAUGGCGACCGGCGCACGGGUGAGUAACACGUAUCCAACCUGCCGAUGACUCGGGGAUAGCCUUUCGAAAGAAAGAUUAAUACCCGAUGGCAUAGUUCUUCCGCAUGGUAGAACUAUUAAAGAUUUCGGUCAUCGAUGGGGAUGCGUUCCAUUAGGUUGUUGGCGGGGUAACGGCCCACCAAGCCUUCGAUGGAUAGGGGUUCUGAGAGGAAGGUCCCCCACAUUGGAACUGAGACACGGUCCAAACUCCUACGGGAGGCAGCAUG